UUCUGGAGCAGCCUUCCAAGUGGGCUAAGUCUAUGGGACAGUUUGUUGCCAACUUUGCAGGAAUGUGAAGGCUGGAGCAACAGCAACCCUCUUGGUCCAGCAAGAGGACUGGUCUAGCAACCCUCUAGGUAAUCUUGAGGGUGGAAGGCACACAGUAAGAGGGUGGACCAAGCAAGGAUGGAAGGACCCUGGGUCCCAUGAUUGGAGCUGUCCGGCAGCCACCAGACCAGACUAUCGCCAACCUCUCAAAUUCCUUUAUGUGAGGGAAAAUAACACUAUAUGUGCCCAAAUGAUUAUUUUUGGUUUUCUAUUACAUGCAGCUAAACGUAAUCCUAAUCCAAUUCUAACAGUUAUGAGAUCCCUGUCAAGUGGUUGGUCCGUGUUUGCUUGAAUAUCUUCCAGUCCUAAACAAUCAAGAGUAGCAUAUGGCACUGAGUGUCAGUAGGCCUGACGCUGGGCAGGGGUUAUUUCCCCAUUUUUCAGAUGAGGAAACUGAGGCUUAGAGAAGCCAAGCACAUAGCAAGGUC
This 527-nucleotide long non-coding RNA is filed under the name Homo sapiens (human). RNAcentral describes it as "non-protein coding lnc-NMUR1-3:1". The record is from RNAcentral. Lineage: Eukaryota; Metazoa; Chordata; Mammalia; Primates; Hominidae.